ACAUGUUGCCGACACCUGUCUUUCCCAGGACGGGAGGGCCUUUAUGACGUAGAACCAGCCGGAGACAGAUCUGACAGGGUUGCUGACAAGGACUGGGCUGCACGCUGGGAGCAACACCACGGGCCAACACAAACAAGACUUUCUCUCCUCUCUGGGCGUGCAGCAAUGGCUACAGCUGGCAGCUGAGAAGUCUCAAGCUGUUAAUUAAGUCUGCCUCGCUCAGCACGCUUCCAUUUUCUGAGACCCGGUCCAAAGCAGACGCCUCCUAAUUGUUAUCGAGUCGGCAUGGAGAAAGUCUGAGCAGCAACAAGCUCAAAGAAUAAAGCUUCCUCUGAGGCAACGGGAAUUGGGCGAGGAGCAGCAGAACCAGAAGAGUUACAGAGGGGGUAAAGUCAGCAUGCUACAAAGAACAUUUGAAAUGGCCCAUUUAACAGCACUGUACUGCGCUCCCGGCCCAGGGCGCCAUUUGCAUAUCUCCGAUCGGAUGAAGAUGGAUGGAGAAAAUCAGUGUCAGUGAGAUGAGCAUUUUAUCAAGGUUACGCUAUCCUCCAAACUCUUAAAACCUCUUUAUCUCAUCUCUGUUGUCAGAAUAUUAACUUAUCAACACCAGCCUUUUGUUGAAGUGAAAGGACGGAGCGACGGGGUUUAUCUGCUGGAGGAGAGGCGACACGCCGGCCAGCCGGCUUCCAGAGGAGCAACGACAUUUAUUUCAAAAUGAUUUCAUCAUGAAAUGUAAGACAAGGGCUAAUGGUGUCCAUCAGAAUUUCCUCAAACUGAUGUUCAUUUUUCAUUGUUUUAUCUUAUAGUAAGUGUGUAAACAUACACAGAUGAAUUCAACAUAAAGUUAUAUUAACUGUUUUCUGAUUAGCCUGCAGGUUCUGUUGCUAAACAGCAAGCCAAAAUCACUACCUGUUCACCAAACAGGGUGCUGUUCAUUAUGGCCAAACUACGGUGGCCCCGACAGGCAAACUGUUUCAGCAAAUCAAAUUUAAAAACACAACAACAUAUUCUAAAACCCAGCACAACUACAAAUUACAAAACAUAAUAACAUUAACAAAACGGAAGUGAUAGGCAUCGCUGAUUGGACAACAACACUUUAAACAUUAGAAGCAGAAGUUAUUCUGGCAUUGGUACAGGCAGGCAGUCACAGCACUACGUAUUGCCCAAACUGUGAAAAAGAACAAAGCUGAACAAAGGUCCAAAGAAUGUCCCGACUGAAAACAUUCUUGGAAAGUGGUAGAUAUGUUUCCAUCACCAGUAGCAUUCAUACUUUCACCAAAAUAGCUGAAGCCAGAAGAACUUCUGGUUCUUAAGUCAAAAUUGCUGUCAUCCAGUCAGAAAUGUCUUAGGCUUCCCUCUAAGACCUACUUCUUCCGUUUUGUUAAUGUUGUUUUUAAAUUUGUAGUUGUGUUUAGUGAUUUGUUGAUGUGGUUUGUACUUCAGGGCCACCGAACCAAACAUCCCUCAACUCACCCUCUCUCAUCCUACACAUGGAACGUUGUUUCAGAAAACAUGAUUCUUUCAGAUGCAAUUUUUCAACCAGAGAUCAAACUGCACCUGCAUACAUGCUGAAUCAGAUGCAAUAUCUAAUCCUGGUAAGAAGGACAGCUUCUUCUGAUUAAUUGUCGUUUGAUGGACUUUAAAUUGUUUAGAACCUGUACUCAUUCCCAGAUUGAUGAGUGGCAACAGAUGCUUCUCUAUACUCUCUGUUGAUGUCUUGCCCCGUUUGCAUUGGAUUACCAUACUCUGUUCCAAGGUUGAAAAACUCCAGCUUUUCUAGCUGCUACUUUCCCCUUUAAAGCUCUUCACACACAGCUUUUGUAU
Molecule: long non-coding RNA, 1824 nt
Organism: Xiphophorus maculatus (southern platyfish)
Lineage: Eukaryota; Metazoa; Chordata; Actinopteri; Cyprinodontiformes; Poeciliidae
Exons: 3
Source: RefSeq, a predicted model, not a curated record